RNAcentral lists this ribosomal RNA (1207 nucleotides) under Microhyla heymonsi (Taiwan rice frog). Its description in RNAcentral is "partial 16S ribosomal RNA". It matches the Rfam family "Bacterial large subunit ribosomal RNA", at positions 534 to 2569 of the family's 2925-position model. The record is from RNAcentral. Lineage: Eukaryota; Metazoa; Chordata; Amphibia; Anura; Microhylidae.
AACAGUAAAAUCAUAAUGAAAAACUAAAGCACAUAAAAGCAGAGCGUUAACCUCGUACCUUUUGCAUCAUGGUCUAAAUAGUCCCCUCAAGCAAAAUGAAUUAAAAGUUUGAUCCCCCGAAACUAGGUGAGCUACUUAAAAACAGCCUUCGGGCCAACCCGUCUAUGUUGCAAAAGAGUGGGAAGAUUUUUAAGUAGAGGUGAUAAACCUACCGAACCUAGAGAUAGCUGGUUAUUCAGGAAAGGGAUUUAAGUCCUACCUUAGGUUUUUGUACAAUACAAGUAACCCCACAACCUUAAGAGCUAUUCAAAUAAGGUACAGCCUAUUGAAACAGAAUACUACCUCACAGCAGCCACCUUUAAAAAAGCGUUAAAGCUUCAUUGUUUUUUUGUAAAAAUUCCUCUAAUCCUCUACAACCCCUUAACCUGUACUGAAUAGUCUCAUGUCUUCAUGAGAGUCUAUAUGUUAGAACUAGUAACAAGAAGAAGCCCUUCUCCAAAAUGUAAGCAUGAGCCAAAAUGAACUAUUCAUUGGCAUUUAAAGUUAAUAAUCCUCUAGUAGUAACUGAUCAAGAAAAAUCUACUAUUUUUAACGUCAACCUUACACCAGCACAUUUCUGGAAAGAUUAAAAGACUAGGAAGGAACUCGGCAAACAAUUAACCCCGCCUGUUUACCAAAAACAUCGCCUCCUGAUUUCCAUAAGAGGUCUAGCCUGCCCAGUGACAAAGUUAAACGGCCGCGGUACCCUAACCGUGCAAAGGUAGCGCAAUCACUUGUUCUUUAAAUGAGGACUAGUAUGAACGGCAUCACGAGGGUUAUGCUGUCUCCCUACUUUAUUCAGUGAAACUGAUCUCCCCGUGAAGAAGCGGGGAUAAAAAUAUAAGACGAGAAGACCCCAUGGAGCUUUAAACUCAGUAUCAACUGCCAUUUUUAAAACCUAAUACCUAAGCAAUUUAUGACUACUAGUUUUUGGUUGGGGUGACCACGGAGUAAAACCUAACCUCCACGAUGAAAGGAAAUAAUAACCUAAAUUAAGAGUUACAACUCUAAAUAUCAACAAAUUGACUAAAUUGACCCAAUUAAUUGAUCAACGAACCAAGUUACCCUGGGGAUAACAGCGCAAUCCAUUUCAAGAGCUCCUAUCGACAAAUGGGUUUACGACCUCGAUGUUGGAUCAGGGUAUCCCAGUGGCGCAGCCGCUACUAAC